This is an RNA transcript of Nymphaea colorata (pocket water lily), 5114 nucleotides long. It is a transcript of the gene named squamosa promoter-binding-like protein 14, with no coding region annotated. The record is from RefSeq and is a predicted model, not a curated record. Lineage: Eukaryota; Viridiplantae; Streptophyta; Magnoliopsida; Nymphaeales; Nymphaeaceae. The transcript has 12 exons.
GGUGGGUUGAGAUCUGGUAAACCAACGUCGCGUGGUCCGUUUGGACUCUAAAUUAUUUUUUUCUCCCUCUGUUUUUUAUUUUUUGUUAGAAAAGUUUCUUCCUUUUCCCAUUUCCAUGACUGAGGAGGAGGAGAGACCAGAGAGAGAGAGAGAGAGUGAGGGAAAGAGAGAUGGCGAUGGCGUGAUGGUGGCGUAGGGUUUGAAAUUCGCUUCUGGUUUUUUUUUUUUUCUUCUUCUUUAGGGCUGAAUUAUUGAGAGGGACGAAGACGAUUCUUUGAGUGCUCGCGGGGGGAGGAAAGAGGCAAAAGUGCCCACACACCUCUCUCUCUGUCUUCUUUCCCUCUCUCUCUCUCUGGCUUCCAGUUUGAGGAUCGGAGGGCUCGUGGGGCUGGUGACGAGUGGAUUCUGGAUGAAGGUUGCCGGGGGCGGGGUUCCGGAUGCUGUAGACGUCGUUUCGGAGUUGAGUGGGAUUGGAAAUUUUUUGCGGCUUUUUGGAGUAUUUUCAAGGUGGAAAUAGGGCUUCGGACGGGAGAGGCCAGAAAGCCGGUUGGAUUUUUGCAGUUUCUGCAGUAGCGAUUUUGGUGCAGCGUCGGGUUGAAUUAGGCGUGACUUUUUACUGCGGCUUGGAAAAUGGAAAGGGAGUUAGGCCCGCAAGUUGCUGGUCCUUUGUUCAUUCACCAGGCAGUUCCAACACGAUUCUGUGAGCCGGCUGCUAUGGCCAAGAAGCGUGAUUUGCCUUGGGCUAACACUGUUUGCCACCAAUCGACACCUCUUCCUUUGAACGUUGUUGAUUACCGAGGACCAUCGGCAAAUUGGAAUCCAAAGGCCUGGGGUUGGGACAGUCUCAUGUGUGUUGCAAAACCUGUAGCAAAUGAGCAGCAAAGUGCUGUUUCUGAGGUUGAAUUUCCUGACAAGGGAAGAGGCAAGGAAAGCCUCAAGCCACCAGAUUUGAAGAAUAACACUGAGGAUGAUGAUGCAGAAGGCCUAACACUGAAGCUUGGAGGUGGUUCAUACUCUAUGGUGGAUGAUGCUGCAGUGAGGCCAAACAAGCGCGUCCGUUCUGGUUCACCAAACGGCAGCUAUCCGAUGUGCCAAGUGGAUGAUUGCAAAGCAGAUUUAUCAAAUGCUAAAGAUUAUCAUCGGCGUCACAAGGUCUGUGAGGUCCAUAGUAAAACCACUAAAGCAUUGGUCGGCAAACAAAUGCAGAGAUUCUGCCAACAAUGUAGCAGGUUUCAUCCCCUUCUGGAAUUCGAUGAAGGGAAGAGAAGCUGCAGGCGGAGGCUUGCAGGACAUAACAGGCGUAGAAGAAAGACUCAGCCAGAAGAUGCAUCUUCACGUCUGCUGCUGUCUGGAGGGAAGGAAAAUGCUACGGCUGGGAACUUGGACCUUGUUAAUUUGCUGACUGUUUUGGCUCGUUUGCAAGGAAGUAAUGCGGAUAAAAGUAACAAUGGCCUGCCACUACCUGACAAAGACAACCAUCUUCUUCAGAUUCUUGGUAAAAUAAACUCAAUGCCACUUCCCGAAAACAUCAGUGGCAGAUUUCCUUUGCCAGGAAACAUGGAUCUAAAUGUUAAACAGAUGCCACAUUCUUCAGAGCAUUUAGCAAAAUCUAGUGAGAAUCAAGCUGCAGCUUCCUCGGAUUUUCUUGCAGUUAUUUCUGCUGCACUAGCAGCAUCAUCUGCAGGAACCCGACUUCCAUCAAAUGUCACGAAGAAUCAGUGUGAUGAAGAAAAGGGUCAGAAGGAACAGCACUCUAUGAAUGCUAGCUUUAAGGAUCAGGUGGAUGGUUCCAGAAUACAGUCCAAUACUGGCACGCUGCAUCCUUCCUGUGAAUUUGAGUCAAGCAAGUCAUUUCUUUCACCUGAUGUCUCAAAGCACCCUGUCCGACCUUCUCGACCAAGUAUACCACUGCAGCUAUUUAUGUCUUCUCCAGAAGAGGAUAGUUCAUCAAGAAUGGAUUCAGGUAGAAAGUAUUUCUCUUCUGAUAGCAGUAAUCCGACAGAGGAGAGGUCCCCUUCAUCUUCUCCUGUAGUGCAAAAGCUGUUUCCGUUGCAUUCUGCAGAGGAAAUGAAAAAGACAGAAAGAGUUUCAUCUCUUAUGGAUAAUUGCUCCGUUGUAGAGACUGCUCAUGGUAACAAAUGGGGCUUUCCUUUAAAUCUCUUGAAAGGUGCAAAUGGAAGAACUGAAAAUGGCGUUCUGCCUGGUUUACCUCAAAGGUUUCAGGAGUCAGCAUCACCUGUCAGAAGAGCAGGCUACACAUCGUCAUCUGGUUCUGACCAUUCUCCAUCUAGUUCAAAUUCCGAUGCACGGGAUCGGACUGGGCGCAUAAUCUUCAAGCUCUUUGACAAGGAUCCCAGCGACUUCCCUCCAGCACUUCGGCUACAGAUAUUGGAUUGGCUUGAUCACAGUCCAUCAGAUAUGGAAAGCUAUAUAAGGCCAGGUUGUGUAGUACUCGCUGUAUAUGUAUCAAUGCCUUGCCUUGCUUGGGAAAAGCUUCGGGAAGACUUUCGGAAGCGUGUCACAUCACUUGUCCACAAUACUGCCUCGGAGUUUUGGAGAAGUGGUCGAUUCCUUGUCCACAUGGAUGGCGAGUUGGCAUCUCAUAUGCAUGGGAAAAUCAGGAUCUCCAAGUCAUGGAAAGAACGGCAAGCUCCUGAACUAAUCUAUGCAUCUCCAUUAGCAGUGGUGGGUGGGCAGGAGACUGCGAUUAACUUGAUAGGUCGAAACUUGAGGUUUACCGGUACCAGGAUUCACUGCACGUACAUGGGAGGUUAUGCUUCUGAAGAAGUUUCUGAAAAUCCUUCCAUUGCCUUGGAUGAGCUAAUAAGUUCUGUAAGUUUUAGCAUUCCUUGUGGAGCAUCUAUGUUAUGGGGCCGAUUCUUUCUUGAGGUUGAGAAUGGGUUCAAAGGGAACAGCUUCCCAAUUAUAGUUGCGGAUGCAGACAUAUGUAUGGAGCUGAGAAGCUUGGAAGCUGAGUUAGAGCAGGGUUUGAGGAAAUCAACUGUGAUCUCAGAUGAUCGAGUGCAGGAUAGUGGACCGUCCAGCUCUAGGGAGGAUAUUGUCCACUUUCUCAAUGAGCUUGGAUGGCUAUUUCAGAGAAGAAGCUACCACAAAGGGUCCAGUGGAAAUGAUUUUUCGUGUGAGCGCUUCAAGCAUCUUUUUGUUUUCUCCGUUGAGAGGGAUUGGAUUGCAUUAGUCAAGAACCUCCUCGAUAUUCUUAUGGAGAGAAAUUUGGAAAGGGAAGAGGUGAUGGAAAUCUUAUCAGAAAUUCAUUUGCUAAACCGCGCUGUGAAUAGAAGAUGCGUCAAGAUGGUCAAUUUGCUUCUCCAAUAUCGUGGCUGCAGUAAAAACUCCAGUUCUUCGACGGACUAUCUUUUCACUCCCAACUCAGUUGGCGUUGGCGGCAUCACUCCUCUGCAUCUAGCAGCUUGUGCACGAGGAUCCGAAGAUUUAAUUGAUGCUUUGACAAACGAUCCACAAGAGAUUGGGCUGAAGGCCUGGACUUCGGCACUAGAUGCAAGUGGGACUUCUCCUCAUGGCUACGCGCUGUUGAAGAGCCACCACUCUUACAACAGCCUAGUUCAUCGGAAACUAGUGGAUAGGGCAAGUGGGCAAGUUUCCAUCACUGUUGAACCCACGGAGGCUUCUACACGAAUGGAUGAAUCCUGGAUUAUAGCCAGCUCCGAGAAGCCAAAACAGUUGCCCGUUCAGCAGAAAGCCUGUACAAGCUGUGCGAUCGCUGCCUCGAGAAGGCCAGGUCGAUUGCCCGCUGGAAGGGGCCUGCUUUACCGGCCGUACAUCAACUCGGUGCUUGCCAUCGCGGCCGUCUGCGUCUGUGUCUGCAUUCUUUGCAGGGGCCGCCCGCAGCUGGGGAAGGUUGCUCCCUUUAUGUGGGAGAACAUUUCAUAUGGUUGGCUGUGACCACAAUCGAGGAACUUUAAGGGCGGGUUCCCCGGAGGAAAAUCCCCUCCUGUGCGUAUCCAUUCGACGCAUAAUAGUGAAAAGGACUCAGAAAUGGCUUGAAGAUAAAAGGGCUAGGAAAGCCGCUGCUUGUGAUUUAAUUACUUGGUAUAUCUUUCAGCCGAGUCAUUUCUUAAUGCUGGAAAAUUGUCAUAAGCACCGGAGGUUCUCUCCGUCUCAGCAUUUUUGCUUUCGAGGCAUUUUCACAGCGGGAAGACCGGAAUCAGCGCGGGAACACUGUCUUCUUCGAAGGGAAGCUUCAGAGGAAGAGAGGAGAGAGUGCGGGAUAAGUGAUGGAAAGUGAUCUGCCCUCCUUGCUGUCUUUGCUAAUUCUGUCUGUACUGCGUUUCUCUUUCUGCUAGCGGCCCUGGGUGGGUGUGAUGAAAGAAGACGCGAGGCAUUUUACCGCGAGAAGCUCCCGCGGUCUUCGUUUCUCUCACGUCGAUGCGGCAGCUUUGGUGGGGGCAGGUGGCCCCGCCUGACUCCAGCGGGACCCGUCUCCACUUUUCCAGCGUCGGACCGGAGAGGUCAAGUCUCCUCCUGUCCGCGCGCUCCCUAACCAUGGUUAAGCACUGGUGAACCCGCCGCCGUACGGCUAAAGAGGGAGAAUGACGAGAAACGCCCUCGAUGGUGGGGGAGGUCAUUGGGGGUUGUCCGUGUUUGACCACGAUUUGCUCGUUGUUCUGCCGUGUCAAAUCUAAGGUCCGCGGCAGUGGCGGGGCGAGAAUGAGUGUUUGUUCGUCGCCGUUGGGCCUCCCGUUCCAAGCGGAGUCGCGGCGGGCCCCGCGGUGGGAAGGAGGAGUACGCGUCGGUGGCCGUCUUGGGUCGACGCGUGGACGGCCGCUAUUAGUAGCUAAAAAGAACACCGAAGUGAAUGUGCUGUGGGGCAUAUGGACUUAUUAUUGAGGGGUGCGUGGGGCCCGUCGUGGUUCUGGAGAGGGACUUGUCCGCUGGUGCUCUUCUCAGCGAUGAUGGGUAGCGACUACUCCGUCCUUUUCUAUAUUUUCUUCCCCUACACUUUUUAGUAAGACGAUGAAAUCACACUGGGGUGGGGAAACCUUGUUUACUGUUGAGGACGUCUGUUGUAGUUAGUUUUGUAUAAUCAGUUUCUGGUCUGGAUUUAGUAUAAACUCAAAUUUGGAUUUGGAUUUGGA